GCUGGGCGUGGUGGCGUGCGCCUGUAAUCUAGCUACUUGGAGGCCAGGGUGCGGGAUUUCGUGGGACCGGGAGUUCUGGCAUAUGGGUGCUCAUGUUGAUCGGGCGUCCACGCUAAGCACGGCGCCGAUAUGGAUGACCUGUCGGAGGGUGGGUUGUCCAGGUCGUCUAAGGAGGGGCGGACCGGCCCAGGGGGGAA
Molecule: signal recognition particle RNA, 197 nt
Filed under: Schistosoma margrebowiei
Lineage: Eukaryota; Metazoa; Platyhelminthes; Trematoda; Strigeidida; Schistosomatidae
Description: Metazoan signal recognition particle RNA
Rfam family: Metazoan signal recognition particle RNA
About the family: The signal recognition particle (SRP) is a universally conserved ribonucleoprotein. It is involved in the co-translational targeting of proteins to membranes.
Source: Rfam by way of RNAcentral